This 253-nucleotide ribosomal RNA is filed under the name uncultured bacterium. Its description in RNAcentral is "partial 16S ribosomal RNA". It matches the Rfam family "Bacterial small subunit ribosomal RNA", at positions 524 to 776 of the family's 1533-position model. The record is from RNAcentral.
UACGUAGGUGGCAAGCGUUGUCCGGAAUCAUUGGGCGUAAAGCGCGUGUAGGCGGUUCGGUAAGUCUGCUGUGAAAGUCCAGGGCUCAACCCUGGGAUGCCGGUGGAUACUGUCGGACUAGAGUACGGAAGAGGCGAGUGGAAUUCCCGGUGUAGCGGUGAAAUGCGCAGAUAUCGGGAGGAACACCAAUUGCGAAGGCAGCUCGCUGGGACGUCACUGACGCUGAGACGCGAAAGCGUGGGGAGCAAACAGG